GCCGUGGCUUGCCCAUCCUCUUCAACUCCUUCAGCACUGAUUGUUCCAACCGUGAUAGCCUGCUCCAAAGUUUGCCCCACCAUUGGCUGGCCAGUGGCCAAUCAGAUACUCUCAAUGCCGUGAUCCGAGAUUGGGCUUUGGGCCCUGAACUGUGAUGUCACAGAACCUGGGACCUGCACCCAUGCUGGGCUAAGACAAGGGGCAGAGGCAGAGAGAGAGAGAGGAGCCACCCUGAGAAGGAAGAGACCAGGUGGGCUCUGAGACAGGGAGACCCUUUCUACGUCGGUGCCUUGACAUGUGACUUUUUUGUCACUUCGUGCUCCAGGAUCACACCUGGAUGAACUAUCACUUUCAAAUGACCUUGUCUUUUCUCGGGCCUUCUGAACUGAUCAUCUCUUCCUUCUGAUACAAGAGGAUCUUCCCUGGAAGACCACUGCACACCUUCUAGUAACACUGCGACCCUGGAUGCAUAUUUAGAAAAAUCUCAGCACAUCUCUGGGCAAUGAAAUCAUUCUUUUGGGACCUGACACAUGAACUGAAGUGUAAUUGGCAUUCUUCGUGGAAGGGGCAUGGAUUUAAAUUGUCUCUCCAUCACUCUCUGCUGCCUGGUAACUGGUAUUGGACACCUGGACAUCUGCAUCCCCGAGCCUUGAGAACCCAACACGUGUUCUGGAAUGACUGGCAGUAGCACCCCACCACUCAACCCCCAUAUGAGAAGAAAAAGGCCUCCUGCCUCCUCUUCUUUCACCAGACACUGUGGGCCCACAAUUCCCAUGUGCACCCCAAAGAUCCAAGCCACUAGCUCUCUCUCCACCUCUUGCAGGGUAGACCUUCUCCUUUUUUUUUGGCGGGAGCGGACAGAAUCCCACUCUGUCACCCAGGCUAAAGUGCAGUGGCGCGAUCUCGGCUUUUGUGUUAUACAAGGCUCUUUAUAUCAUGAUUAACACAAUAAGGUGCUUAAUCAUGAGUCUUAAUGUGGCUGCAUCCCACUCCCUAGGCUUCAAGGACAGAAAUUGCAUAUUUUUGAAAAGGUUAUUCUAAUGUACACCUGGGUUUGUGAUCCACUUAUAAGCCCUCAAAACCACUAAUCUGUUCUCCAUAAUUUUGUCAUUUCUGGAAUAUCACAUAAAUGAAAACAUACC
Molecule: long non-coding RNA, 1142 nt
Filed under: Homo sapiens (human)
Lineage: Eukaryota; Metazoa; Chordata; Mammalia; Primates; Hominidae
Description: HSALNT0371318
Source: RNAcentral